RNAcentral lists this ribosomal RNA (253 nucleotides) under uncultured bacterium. RNAcentral describes it as "partial 16S ribosomal RNA". It matches the Rfam family "Bacterial small subunit ribosomal RNA", at positions 524 to 776 of the family's 1533-position model. The record is from RNAcentral.
UACGUAGGGGGCAAGCGUUGUCCGGAAUCAUUGGGCGUAAAGAGCGCGUAGGCGGCCCUGUAAGUCCGCUGUGAAAGUCAAGGGCUCAACCCUUGGAUGCCGGUGGAUACUGCAGGGCUAGAGUCCGGAAGAGGCGAGUGGAAUUCCUGGUGUAGCGGUGGAAUGCGCAGAUAUCAGGAGGAACACCAAUUGCGAAGGCAGCUCGCUGGGACGGUACUGACGCUGAGGAGCGAAAGCAUGGGGAGCGAACAGG